UUGAUGCUGGCUCAAGACGAACGCUGGCGGCGCGCCUCACACAUGCAAGUCAAACGAGCGAGAGAGAGCUUGCUUUCUCGAGCGAGUGGAGAACGGGUGAGUAACGCAUGAGGAAUCUGCCACAAAGAGGGGGACAACAGUUGGAAACGACUGCUAAUACCGCAUAAGCCCACGGUGCCGCAUGGCACAGAGGGAAAAGGAGCAAUCCGCUUUGAGAUGGCCUCGCGUCCGAUUAGCUAGUUGGUGAGGUAACGGCUCACCAAGGCAACGAUCGGUAGCCGGACUGAGAGGUUGAACGGCCACAUUGGGACUGAGACACGGCCCAGACUCCUACGGGAGGCAGCAGUGGGGAAUAUUGCACAAUGGGGGAAACCCUGAUGCAGCGACGCCGCGUGGAGGAAGAAGGUCUUCGGAUUGUAAACUCCGUGUUGUUGGGGAAGAUAAUGACGGUACCCAACAAGGAAGUGCCGGCUAACUACGUGCCAGCAGCCGCGGUAAAACGUAGGUCACAAGCGUUGUCCGGAAUUACUGGGUGUAAAGGGAGCGCAGGCGGGAAGACAAGUUGGAAGUGAAAUCUAUGGGCUCAACCCAUAAACUGCUUUCAAAACUGUUUUUCUUGAGUAGUGCAGAGGUAGGCGGAAUUCCCGGUGUAGCGGUGGAAUGCGUAGAUAUCGGGAGGAACACCAGUGGCGAAGGCGGCCUACUGGGCACCAACUGACGCUGAGGCUCGAAAGUGUGGGUAGCAAACAGGAUUAGAUACCCUGGUAGUCCACACCGUAAUCGAUGAUUACUAGGUGUUGGAGGAUUGACCCCUUCAGUGCCGCAGUUAACACAAUAAGUAAUCCACCUGGGGAGUACGACCGCAAGGUUGAAACUCAAAGGAAUUGACGGGGGCCCGCACAAGCAGUGGAGUAUGUGGUUUAAUUCGACGCAACGCGAAGAACCUUACCAAGUCUUGACAUCCCUUGACAGACAUAGAAAUAUGUAAUCUCUUCGGAGCAAGGAGACAGGUGGUGCAUGGUUGUCGUCAGCUCGUGUCGUGAGAUGUUGGGUUAAGUCCCGCAACGAGCGCAACCUUUAUGGUCAGUUACUACGCAAGAGGACUCUGGCCAGACUGCCGUGGACAAAUCGGAGGAAGGUGGGGAUGACGUCAAAUCAUCAUGCCCUUUAUGACUUGGGCUACACACGUACUACAAUGGCGUUAAACAAAGAGAAGCAAGAGCCGCGAGGUGGAGCAAAACUCAGAAACAAUGUCCCAGUUAGGCCUGCAGUCUGCAACUCGCCUGCAAGAAGUAGGAAUUGCUAGUAAUCGUGGAUCAGCAUGCCACGGUGAAUACGUUCCCGGCCCUUGUACACACCGCCCGUCA
Molecule: ribosomal RNA, 1367 nt
Filed under: uncultured bacterium
Lineage: Bacteria
Description: 16S ribosomal RNA
Rfam family: Bacterial small subunit ribosomal RNA
Source: RNAcentral